AAGUAUAGCAAGGAAUAUGGCAAGCUAUGUAGGACCAACCAGAUUGGAACUGUGAAUGACAGGCUAAUGCACAAGCUGAGUGUGGAAGCCCCACCCAAAAUCCUGGUGGAGAGAUACCUGAUUGAAAUUGCAAAGAAUUACAAUGUACCCUAUGAACCUGACUCUGUGGUCAUGGCAGAAGCUCCUCCUGGGGUAGAGACAGAUCUUAUUGAUGUUGGAUUCACAGAUGACGUGAAGAAAGGAGGCCCUGGAAGAGGGGGUGGUGGCUUCACAGCACCAGUUGGUGGACCUGAUGGAACGGUGCCAAUGCCCAUGCCCAUGCCUAUGCCAUCUGCAAAUACGCCUUUCUCAUAUCCACUGCCAAAGGGACCAUCAGAUUUCAAUGGACUGCCAAUGGGGACUUAUCAGGCCUUUCCCAAUAUUCAUCCACCUCAGAUACCAGCAACUCCCCCAUCGUAUGAAUCUGUAAGUGCCUGAGCCUCUUUUAUAAGCAACAGGAGAGUGAAUGCCAUGAAGAGCGAGCAAAAUAAUGACCACAGGGAAGGCAGAGUUUUGAUCAACUCCUAGUACUGUCAUCAUUUUUGCUUUGGGAUU
This 594-nucleotide small RNA is filed under the name Pan troglodytes (chimpanzee). RNAcentral's name for it is "retained intron". The record is from RNAcentral. Lineage: Eukaryota; Metazoa; Chordata; Mammalia; Primates; Hominidae.